UAUCCAGAUCACCUGCAUAGUCUGAAUCAAGAUAUCCAAGAAGACUACCAGAAGUCUCACAGCUCCUGUCAUAGACCAAGCCAAUAUCUGCACCUUCACUACCUUUAUAAAAAACAGUUCCAGCAGAAGACGAAGGGAUGGCACUUGCUUUCCUAACCUUCACGAACAGAGGUUAUUUUAACCUACUAAGCAUUUCCCCUUUCUCUAAGACCCACG
Molecule: long non-coding RNA, 216 nt
Filed under: Amborella trichopoda
Lineage: Eukaryota; Viridiplantae; Streptophyta; Magnoliopsida; Amborellales; Amborellaceae
Description: long non-coding RNA (ATRI_LNC001458)
Source: RNAcentral